AUGGAUGGCUGCUCUGGGGGUUUCUCUGAUCAUACAACCUUCCUCAGGCACAAGUCUGGAAUUCAAAACGGGAUUUUUCAGCUGCAAAGUUCUGGCCCCCAUGUGCCGAGCAGUUCUUUCCCUGUCGCUGUUGGGUGUAAAUGUCCCUCGGAGAGGAAGGCUGAUGCUGUUGCACUAUCUACUCUGACCUGGCACCUGCAGGGUGAAAAGGGCUCCUGGAGAAAGAAAGAUUUUUCUGGAAGCAAGAGACAGGGACAUUUGUGGACUAUCCAAAUCAUUCACGAAGUCAAACUGUGCAGAUAGCAAGAGAGAGGCGCUGUGGGGCAGAUGGGAGCCACCUCAAGCUCAGAGAGCAGCUGUGGGAUGCGGAGCCCUCACUGCUGGGCAGACUGUGUGGAGUGUUUUGUACGUAUCGCCUCCUGUAAUCCUCUCAAUUUUUCGCUAACGUAGGUACUGUUGUCUUCCUUUUCCAGCUGAGGGAACUGAGGCACGGAGUGAGUAUGUAGCUUGCUCACAUUUUCCUAGAGAAACAGGACAAAUCCCAACCAAAACACAGUUGUGAUUCCAAAGCCAGUACAGUAUUUGCGUUCAGCAAGUGCUGCCUCUGAGAGAAACCAGGCGCCCCUCGUCAGAAGCACAGUGUGGAAGCUGGGCGUCUGUUCUGUCUGACUGUCCGGCCAUCCCAGACCCAAGAGCAGGCACUUGCAGCUGUACACUGGCAGCCGUAUAAAUGACCACUCAGCAGCAUUUCCACAUGGAACCUGUGCUGCUGGCCCUGAGCAACCACACCUGAAGCCUGCUCCCCUGUCCCUCCAGCCCAGGCCCAACCUGUGGCCGACCUGGGAUGUAUUUUUUGCCUCAGCCUAUCCCUCACUUCUAGUCUUUGCUUCCCAUUGACCCUCUCCCUGAAGCCCCCCAACCCUGGCAGGCUUUCAAAGCUGAGGCCCCAUGUGAGUACACCUGCCUAACAGUUAAGCCAUAGGUCUCCAAGGGCGGUCUCUACACUACCCUGUCUACCCUGGGGGUUACUCCCUGAGGUACUCCAAGAACACUGAGUUCUAGGCUCUCCCAGAAGCUUCAAUAAGAUUUUGGUGGGGGGACUGAAAAGUCUGCACUGUUUUUCAGAAGUAGAGGUGGUGGGAUGGCACUGUACCAAGGGCUCUUUCUGUAUUGGUCUAGGCACCUGCGCCCUGCACAGGGAGGCUGGUGUGAAAGCUGGUGGGGAGGGGCGGAGGAAGCCGUAGGAGGCUGGGCAGUACUUCUGCCAGUCUGUACAGAGCUCUGGGAUGGCUGAAGGCCCUGGCAAAAACAAACUCCAGAGAAGUUUCCAGGCAGCAGCCCUCCAGAGCCCCAUUCCACGCAUCCCGGAAUCUGGCCAUUCCCUGCUGGGAAGCAGCAUCCCUUUUGUUCCCGAAUCUUGGGCUUCCAGAGGGCAGUCGGGCAGCUUCACAAGGUGGAGGAAGCAGGUAGAAAGCCAGAAAGGCGGGCAACCAAGGUAGAAGCUGAGUGAGAGCCAUUUCAAUGCUUCCAAAGGUCAUUCACAAAGAGGUCUGGGCAGCACUCAAGAGACCCCGGGACCCAAGACUUACUUAUCAGAGAAAGACAUCCCAAUAGGUAGGCUACUGGGUGCGAAGCCAAGCUUUAGUUCAGUCAGUGUGGCCUUCGAGAAAACACAGGGAGGGAAAAACCUUCAUAAAAUUAAAAAGGAAGUUGUUUUUAUUCCACCUCACCAACAAUUCCAAAACAACUGAACACAGAGUACUCUAACUUUGGCAUGGAGCAAGACCUCCGUGCAAAGUCGUUUCUAAGCUCAUUUGAAGGGAAAAUAGUGUUCUUUGUGUGACCACCUAUAACUUCUGGGCACACUCAGCGGAAGUAACUCAAAUGAAAACUUUGAUUAUUAGCUGGAAAAGUGGGGCAAGGAGGAGUUGGAUGGAGGGCAGUGCUGGAGUGGCCAGAGCUGGAGCGGGGCACGUGGAGGUGUCUGUGCCUGGUGGACUUAGACAAGCCGCUUCAUGACUGGCUCUGAGUUUUCCCAUCCGAAACAGGGCAGUGAAGACUGAUAUGUUGGCCAGCAGAGUGGCUGCCCUGUGGCCCUGGGGAUGCCCAGGCAGUGCUUGAGUCCUCCCUUGGCUGAGGUUCAGCCCUGCACAAGUGCUUGUGUCUGUGGCAAAGCCAGAUCCUUCCCAUCACCUCUUUAGUGCAAAAAUGACCCCCAAAUCCUCUGUAGUCUUCUUCCUUUAAGUCAUGAUAUUAGGCCUUACUCAGAAUUGCUCUUAGGAAUUGUAGUUAGUGUCAUAUAGUUCUUUAUACAGUGACAUGUAUAUAUAUUUGAGAUUACGUGUGUCAGGCAAUGUAUAUGACUUAUAUUUUAAUGUUACACAUGUUAUAUAUGGCAUAAAAUAUUUAUCAAUUUAAUGCACGUCAAUUUCUAUGUAUGUAUCAUAUAACACUAACAACACAUCAUAGGUAUUUGUAUAUAUACAUAUGUAAAUAGACAUUUAUGUGUAUACACAUGCUACUAUAUAAAUGGAAAUUUCAGCUGUAUCAUAUACAUAUAUUCACGUGGACACGAGUGCAUACAGAGUAAAUGGUUUGGUGACCUAAAACCAUAGAAGAUAAGCACUAGAUCUCAGGGGUGGGUUGAAUUGUGCCCCCCUCAGGACAUACUGAAGUCUUAAUUCCUAGCACCUGUGCAUAUGACCUUAUUUUUUUUUUUAAAGGGUCUUUACAGGUGUAAUGAAGAUGUAAGCUAAGGUGAAGUCCUGCUGGGGUAAGGUGGGCCUUCGUUCCUGUAUGACAGGUGUCCUUGUAAGAAGAGAGACACACACAGAGACAGACUUGUGCUAAGGGAACACCGCGUGCAGACACAGGUGCAGGGAAGAGGACACGUGAAGGUGGAGGCAGAGCCUGGAGCAAGGCAAUGCAGCUCCAAGUCCUGGGGCCCCAAGGACCGCAGGCAAACACCAGCAGCUAGGGGGAGCAGGCAAGAGCCUUCCCAAGAGCCUUCUGGAGAAAUUAGGGUUUGAUGAAGCCUCGAUAUCUGACUUCUGGUCUCCAGAACUGUGUAUGAUGCCAUAAAUUUCUAUCACUUUGAUCCCGCUAUGCGUUGUGUGCUUCUUUGUUAGGGCAGCCACGGAGAAAAACACACUCAGAACAGAGUGGGAGCCGGCAGAGCUGCUGAGGCUCAGUCCUGCUUCUCUGCCUCUCCCCACAGCUGCCUGGGGGGCGGGGUGGUCUCUUCCGACUGAAACCAACCCUUGAAGGUGGUGCAGGCCCCUGCAACCCUCUGCUCUCAUGCUGCCUGCUGUGGGUGGUGGCUAAAGCCACACUGUCCCCACCUAAGGCCGAGCUAGGACACUGGAAAUGCGGAGCUGAGCCUUCAUCAUCUUCCUCGCCCUGCCCCACUCCCUGCUCCUAUGCCACAAGCAGCUUUGAGCUCUCAAAGGCUGGCAUAAAUUUAUGGUCAGUAUGCUUCUAGAUCAGAGGUCCUGCUGUUAGAGAGGUUUUUUUUACUUUAAUGGCACAGAGGAAUUCCCCCCCCCAACCUCCUUAAAACACU
Molecule: long non-coding RNA, 3562 nt
Filed under: Fukomys damarensis (Damara mole-rat)
Lineage: Eukaryota; Metazoa; Chordata; Mammalia; Rodentia; Bathyergidae
Description: lncRNA (ENSFDAG00000033307.1)
Source: RNAcentral